This 253-nucleotide ribosomal RNA is filed under the name uncultured bacterium. RNAcentral describes it as "partial 16S ribosomal RNA". It matches the Rfam family "Bacterial small subunit ribosomal RNA", at positions 524 to 776 of the family's 1533-position model. The record is from RNAcentral.
UACGUAGGCAGCAAGCGUUGUUCGGAAUUACUGGGCGUAAAGAGUGUGUAGGCGGUGUUCUAAGUCUGUUGUGAAAUCUCCCGGCUUAACUGGGAGGGUGCGGCGGAAACUGGAAUGCUAGAGGAUGGGAGAGGUAAGCGGAAUUCCUGGUGUAGCGGUGAAAUGCGUAGAUAUCAGGAGGAAUACCUAUGGCGAAAGCAGGCUACUGGACCGUCACUGACUCUGAUCUGCGAAAGCUAGGGGAGCAAACAGG